Molecule: ribosomal RNA, 492 nt
Filed under: uncultured bacterium
Lineage: Bacteria
Description: partial 16S ribosomal RNA
Rfam family: Bacterial small subunit ribosomal RNA
Source: RNAcentral
AGUGAACGCUGGCGGUAGGCCUAACACAUGCAAGUCGAACGGCAGCACAGUAAGAGCUUGCUCUUACGGGUGGCGAGUGGCGGACGGGUGAGGAAUACAUCGGAAUCUACUUUUUCGUGGGGGAUAACGUAGGGAAACUUACGCUAAUACCGCAUACGACCUACGGGUGAAAGCAGGGGAUCUUCGGACCUUGCGCGAUUGAAUGAGCCGAUGUCGGAUUAGCUAGUUGGCGGGGUAAAGGCCCACCAAGGCGACGAUCCGUAGCUGGUCUGAGAGGAUGAUCAGCCACACUGGAACUGAGACACGGUCCAGACUCCUACGGGAGGCAGCAGUGGGGAAUAUUGGACAAUGGGCGCAAGCCUGAUCCAGCAAUACCGCGUGGGUGAAGAAGGCCUUCGGGUUGUAAAGCCCUUUUGUUGGGAAAGAAAAGCAGCAGGUUAAUACCCAGCUGUUCUGACGGUACCCAAAGAAUAAGCACCGGCUAACUUCGUG